This 250-nucleotide ribosomal RNA is filed under the name uncultured bacterium. RNAcentral describes it as "partial 16S ribosomal RNA". It matches the Rfam family "Bacterial small subunit ribosomal RNA", at positions 524 to 773 of the family's 1533-position model. The record is from RNAcentral.
UACGUAGGGGGCAAGCGUUGUCCGGAGUUACUGGGCGUAAAGGGCAUGCAGGCGGUGCGACGCGUUUUGGGUGACAGCGGGUGGCUCAACUACCCGAGCAUGCAAAAGACGGUUGCACUUGAGGGCCAGAGAGGGACACGGAAUUCCGGGUGGAGUGGUGAAAUGCGUAGAGAUCCGGAGGAACACCGAAGGCGCAGGCAGUGUCCUGGCUGGUUCCUGACGCUCAGGUGCGAAAGCCAGGGGAGCGAAC